CACAGGGUAGAGAAGCGGUCUAUCUCGUCUGGCUCAUAACCAGAAGACCCCAUCGUGGGCAUAGCGCAGGUUCGAAUCCUGCCCCUGUAA
RNAcentral lists this transfer RNA (90 nucleotides) under Paludibacteraceae bacterium. RNAcentral's name for it is "tRNA-Met". It matches the Rfam family "tRNA". From Rfam's summary of the family: Transfer RNA (tRNA) molecules are approximately 80 nucleotides in length. Their secondary structure includes four short double-helical elements and three loops (D, anti-codon, and T loops). Lineage: Bacteria; Pseudomonadati; Bacteroidota; Bacteroidia; Bacteroidales; Paludibacteraceae. The record is from RNAcentral.